This is an RNA transcript of Tyto alba (common barn owl), 4389 nucleotides long. It is a transcript of the gene named SRSF protein kinase 3, with no coding region annotated. Lineage: Eukaryota; Metazoa; Chordata; Aves; Strigiformes; Tytonidae. The record is from RefSeq and is a predicted model, not a curated record. The transcript has 4 exons.
CGAGUGGAGUUCCUGGGAGAUUGAAGGAGGCAGACCCAGCUAAAGUUGAAAUAAAGCCUGGAUCAUCCCUGAUGAGAUUGAAACAAUACCCUAUCAAAUUGGAAGCUAAGCACAUUCGUUCCAACCUGGACAUUGAAUUUACGUCAAAUCUUGGACUUCAGAGCCACUCCAAGAGAAAUGGAAAGGACCAUUCCGAGUUCUUUUGACAACCUUGCAGUCAAGGUUUGGGGCAAAGGUCCAUGGAAUCAUUAUUCAAGAAUUAAAAAGGCUCCCUCCUCUUGGUCAGUAGAGCAGCAGGCCCCAUUAAAGUCAAAACUACAGCGAGGAUGAUUAAGUUCUGUAUAUUCACUAUGACAAUAAUGGUAAUCAUGAACCAAGUUUAACAGCCUUCACAUUGGGGUCAAAAUUUGCAUGUAGCCUUGAUACAAAAUGUUACUCAAAUAUUACAGUGAAAGGAUUUUACACAUAUGCCUGAGCAUGGGAAUAAAGCCUUUCUUUAACUGAAGUUCCAAUAUCCUUUAACACAUCUUAGAACAACCUGUGGAUUGGUCCCAUGAAUAGAAAAGAAACUGAACAAGUUGCAGAAGUUGUUGAUCCAAAACUUUCUGCUGUGAAACAUAUAACUACCAACAAAACUUUGGAUCCAGGAGAUCAAACAGUUGGGAACUACCUCUGCUGUAGCUGGUAGCAAGUGUUCUGGCCAAGACAGGUCGGAAAGGGCACAGUCCAAGGGAGACAGAGAGGGUGGUGGCAUUCCCCAAAUGGGUGGUAUUGGUUGUGUGGAGGCAAAGCUAUAAAAGCUUUACCACCAGACUGGUCUGGAACAUGUGCCUUAGGGACAGUAGUCCCAAAUAUAACCAUCAGUGAUAAAUUACAUGAAUUGAAUGCCUGGGUAAGGACAUACAUAAAAAGAACCAGGAGAGUCCACAAUACCAUCGUGGAUCACCCCACAAGUUUUCACAGCUUUGUCCAAUGGUUUCUCCCAUGGUUAGGGGUAAGUGAAGUAGAGAAAACCAUAGUAAACGUAUCAGCAGUGAUUGAAAGCACUGAAAAGAAAACUAUUGAUGGCCUGCGAGCGUUACAAAUAGAAGUGACCAGUUUGUCACGGGUAGUGCCCCAAAAUAGAAUGGCUUUGGAUUUGUUACUAGCCCCUCAUGGAUGUGUCUGUACUACCAUAAAUACAAGCUGUUGUCUGUAUGUAGAUCAAAGUGGCAGGAUUUCUACAGAUUUAGCCGAAAUUUGGGAACGGACUAAGAUUCUAGAUCAAGUUAUGAGGGAUAAUACGCCUUGGGGAUUUGAAAAAGUAUGGCACAAACUCACCUCAUGGCUGCCUGACUGGUCAUGGCUGAAACUGUUAUUUCUAACAGUGAUCUUUAUUGUAACUAUGUGUACUCUUGCUUGCAUUGUGCUGCAUUUGCUGUACAAACCUUUGCUCUAAAAGCAAGUAUAUCUAAAAGUGAGGGUCAUAGUUGAGAAACUAUGAAUCCUCAAAAAAGAAGGGAAUGGCAGCUCUGAAUUACCUUGUAAUAUUUUGCUUAGGAAGAUAGACUGCUUAGAAGAUAGAUCCUUGAAAAAAAGCUGUUAUUGUUAACUAUAGGCCUUUGAAGAUAGUUGUUGCUUACUUGCAUAGUCUUGUACAUAGCCACUGACCAUAUGAGGUCAGUAUGCUUAGAUUAAGUAGAAUAUUUGCUGAAUACCCAAAGACAAGAAGAAGAGUUGCAAGAAGACCAGAAAGGACUGGUUUUGUGGUAUGUGGACUUAAUCCAAACAACAACGAGUGCCAAAAGAGACAAGGUUAAGGAAAGGAGAAGGUGAAGAAGAUGAAGGGGGACGAAGUAACGACCACCGACUCAUUAAAGCAACCACCAGGAGGCACAAAGGGCAUUAUAAUAUGAAGAUGAGUUCCAAGAAAAGCUUAUCCAUAUGGAAAUAAUUUCCAGAAAACUAAUGAAUAUGUAUGACUUUUUACUAUAUUAACAAGAUACUAACAAGUCUGGAUGUCAGUGUUAGGUGGAAUUAUCCCCACCGACCUGGCGCCAAUAAAGGAAUGCUUCUUUUAGAAGCCAUAAACCUUGAUCUCUGAGAGUUUCUUUACUGACUGACUUUUACAGUAUCACAAGGCUGCAGCAUGUGUCAGCAGGGGAAAAAAUUUUGAUUUUUACUGUGUGUGGGCAUUUUCUGCUCAGUUUUGUGUGGGUUCUGAGAUGCUUGGGUGCCCCCUUGGCGGGGCAGCAGCUGCAGGGAGGAUGCUGCUGUUGUGGGUGCUCUCCACGACAAGGCUCUGUGGUCACCAGCACCACACUGGGAUGGUGCUGGGCUGCCUGCGGGCAGCGCUGGGGGAGGCUGAAGUGCCUCGGGGUGGGCAGCAUGACACACAGGUGGGCUUGGGGAGCCUGUCCCCUCUGCCAGGAACAGGCUGGGGACGGCUGUGCCGGGCAGGAGAUGGUGCCACAGCAGUGAGUCUGGGCCACGAGUCCCACCAACACGCUGCUGGGAGCAGUGGGAAGUGCCAGGCAGCCCCAUGGUUUCUGGGUCUGGGGACUGUGCAGCAGAGGGGAAGGAUUUCUCUUUUUCCAUCUCACUAGAGCUGUGAAUUUCCCUCUAUAAAUAGUUGCUGUGGAGACUGUGGAGCUGCAGCAGGCUGACAGACCUGCUGCCAGGGAAGCCGGGGGAGGCAGGGAGAGGCCAGCAGUAAAGUGAAUCCACUGCAGCUGUCCUAGGUCUCCUGCUAUCCCGAAGCCAAGGUUGUUCCCAGAAGCGGUUGCUGUGAUCCGAUACCCUGCCCUGCUCCUCACCACGUCCAUCCAGCGAUGCAGAAGAGUUCUGCUCAAGGACACCCCUCCCAGGCAGCGCGGACUAAAAGGAGAGCAGCACCAGCUGGUAUCUCACUUUGGGGAGCUCCAGAACGAGCCAGAUGACAAACGGAGCGGCGUGCCCUGCCUGCGAGCUGCUGCACGGUAAGUCUGCGCAGAGCCCCUGGGGCUCGGACCCCACGCGCCGACACGGCUGCUUCUGUGCUGCAUGUUGCAACUUGCAGGGAUGCUGCACUCAGCAAGGGUUUGCCAGGUCUGUGGUCGUGCAGAAGAUGGUGUGCAUUGCUCUGGUGAGCUCUGCGACUCCAGAGGUCCAGGCACUGUAAGGCAUGACUGGUGGUGGGCAGCUCCUCACGGCACCUGGUGCAGGUCAGCGGAGUUCUCUGGGCCAGAGGCGAAGCACCGCUCCUUGCCCCCGGCUCUGGAGACCAGGCAGGACCGGGUUGUUGUUCUGAAGCUCUCUGACCUGGUCCAGCCUCGCAGCAAGCCGGAGUGAGGUGCUGAAGAUUGUGUGACCCGGUUCCCCACUGCCUCCAUCCCCUCGUGCCAGGAUCUGCUGGGCCAUGGAGCAGCAGGUGCAGGAGGAGGUGCCGGCAGCCCAGAGCUCAGGUCAGUCCUCAGGCGUGCAGCUCCCGAGCCGAGAUCGUGCCAGGCUCUUCCCAGGCCAGAGGAGGCCACCAGGACCUGUCCAGCCAUUCCUCUGGGGCGACAGCUGUCCUCAGCUGCUCCUUCAGUCUAAGGGCAUUUAAAGAUGUCAGUAAUGUCUCUUGGUGAUGGUCCCUGCAGGAGGCCACCACCCCGUGCGGGAAGGAGAGGUGUUCAACACGCGUUACCAGGAUCUGCACAAACUGGGCUGCGGUGCCUUUGCCACCGUCUGGCUGUGCCAAGACACGAGGUGAGGGGCUAACCGCCUUUCGGGGAGCUGGGAAGGGGUGCCUGAUCUCCUGGGCAGGCCCAGCCCCUCUCGCAGAAGCAGCAGUGCGCAGCUGCCUGCCUGAGAGCACAUCGGCAUCCUCCGAGCACAGGGCAAACCUGGCAGCGAGAUGGGUGGGGUGCAAUGAGCAGAGCUGGUCCCUGGAAACCAAAAGAACAUAAAUGAGGUGGGAUCAGCCCUUGCUCUGCAUCGGCUCUUCUUAUUUAGACCCUGCAAUACACAUACUCUGCCUUUUUCUCUCCAGCCCUUCGCUGGUCCCUGGGACAGCUGUGCUGCCAGAUGCUGGUGGCAUCACCAGGAGGGAUGUCCUCGGACAUGGGGUGCUGCAGACCAAGGGCAAGGCUGCUUGCAGGAAGGCAGCACCCUCCCUGGGGAACCCAGCGCUGGGUAACUGGGAGAAGGGGAGGUGCUACUGGUUAGGGCCACUCUGGCAUGUGUUGGCUGGCAGCUGUGAUUCAUUUCCCAGGAGGAAGAAACACGUAGCUGUGAAGGUCCUGAAAAGCAGGGAAGGCUUUGCUGAGGCUGCGCAGGACGAAGUCGCUCUCCUCCGCUGCGUGAGCAGUAUGAAGAAGAAGGACCAGGCAGGAGAAAACAUUGUCUGUUUGUUAGAUGACUUCAGAAUGAUUGGAGAGAAUGGCUUCC